UGGGGAAUCUUGCGCAAUGGUCGAAAGACUGACGCAGCGACGCCGCGUGCGGGAGGAAGCCCUUCGGGGUGUAAACCGCUGUUACUCGGGACGAACUUCUCGAUUCAUCGAGAUUGACGGUACCGGGGGAGGAAGCACCGGCUAACUCUGUGCCAGCAGCCGCGGUAAUACAGAGGGUGCGAGCGUUGUCCGGAAUCACUGGGCGUAAAGGGCGCGUAGGCGGCUUUUCAAGCGUGCGGUGAAAGCUCGGGGCUUAACUCCGAGUCUGCCGUGCGAACUGGGAGGCUUGAGUCUGGUAGAGGUCGAUGGAAUUCCGGGUGUAGCGGUGGAAUGCGUAGAGAUCCGGAAGAACACCGGUGGCGAAGGCGGUCGACUGGGCCAGUACUGACGCUGAGGCGCGACAGCGUGGGGAGCAAACAGG
This 421-nucleotide ribosomal RNA is filed under the name uncultured bacterium. RNAcentral's name for it is "bacterial SSU rRNA". It matches the Rfam family "Bacterial small subunit ribosomal RNA", at positions 355 to 776 of the family's 1533-position model. The record is from RNAcentral.